RNAcentral lists this ribosomal RNA (815 nucleotides) under Entamoeba sp. RL3. RNAcentral's name for it is "SSU rRNA". It matches the Rfam family "Eukaryotic small subunit ribosomal RNA", at positions 892 to 1591 of the family's 1831-position model. Lineage: Eukaryota; Evosea; Mastigamoebida; Endamoebidae. The record is from RNAcentral.
UCAGAAAAUAACGGGAGAGGUGAAAAUCCAUGAUCGCUAUAAGAUGCACGAGAGCGAAAGCAUUUCACUCAAUUGCGUUCAUUAAUCAAGAACGAAAGUUAGGGGAUCGAAGACGAUCAGAUACCGUCGUAGUCCUAACUAUAAACGAUGUCAACCAAGGAUUGGAUUAGUUUUAGAGGAAGUGUGACUACAAAUCAUUGAUUUGCUGGAACACCGACUCGCUACUACCUCAUUCAGAACUUAAUGAGAAAUCAUGAGUUUAUGGACUUCAGGGGGAGUAUGGUCACAAGGCUGAAACUUAAAGGAAUUGACGGAAGGGCACACCAGGAGUGGAGCCUGCGGCUUAAUUUGACUCAACACGGGAAAACUUACCAAGACCGAACAUUAGUAGGAAUGACAGAUUAAGGGUUCUUUCAUGAUUUGAUGGGUAGUGGUGCAUGGCCGUUCUUAGUUGGUGGAGUGAUUUGUCAGGUUAAUUCCGGUAACGAACGAGACUGAAACCUAUUAAUUAGUUCAAACCCUAUACGGGUUUGAUGUCGCAAGACAGAUGCUCUGCAUCACUUCUUAAAGGGACUCAUAUCAAUUGUUCUCAUGUUAAUUGGAGUCUCUACACCCGUAGAACCCUUUUAGCGGGGAAAAAAGAUAAAGGAAGCAUUCAGCAAUAACAGGUCUGUGAUGCCCUUAGACAUCUUGGGCUGCACGCGCGCUACAAUGGAGUUACUAGCGAGUAAUUGGUAAUUACUUCUUGAGGUGGAACUUCUGUGAAACCUUAGGAAAGUGUUACUAUACCGAGGCUGAGAUAGUAAAGGAAAACU